CAGCAGCCGCGGGAAUACAGAGGGUGCGAGCGUUAAUCGGAUUUACUGGGCGUAAAGCGUGCGUAGGCGGCUUUUUAAGUCGGAUGUGAAAUCCCUGAGCUUAACUUAGGAAUUGCAUUCGAUACUGGGAAGCUAGAGUAUGGGAGAGGAUGGUAGAAUUCCAGGUGUAGCGGUGAAAUGCGUAGAGAUCUGGAGGAAUACCGAUGGCGAAGGCAGCCAUCUGGCCUAAUACUGACGCUGAGGUACGAAAGCAUGGGGAGCAAACAGGAUUAGAGACCCCUGUAGUCCCUGUCUCUUAUAA
RNAcentral lists this ribosomal RNA (301 nucleotides) under uncultured bacterium. Its description in RNAcentral is "partial 16S ribosomal RNA". It matches the Rfam family "Bacterial small subunit ribosomal RNA", at positions 509 to 809 of the family's 1533-position model. The record is from RNAcentral.